Molecule: long non-coding RNA, 1742 nt
Filed under: Taeniopygia guttata (zebra finch)
Lineage: Eukaryota; Metazoa; Chordata; Aves; Passeriformes; Estrildidae
Description: lncRNA (ENSTGUG00000020835.1)
Source: RNAcentral
AUGUAUGUAUCUCAUGUUCUCUCUUCCAGAAUCAGUCAUCAGCGGCCACAUCAUCCUUGUGAACCUGGGAGACACCGCUUUUGUGGUUUCCAGGUUUUGUCUCUAUUGUCUUCACCAGAGGGGCACCUGGGGUGCCUUCCUUGGCACAGACUGAGGGACACCGUGGAGAGAAGAUGGAGUGUGCACCAAAUAUCCCAACAUUCAAUCUCUGAACAAUGUGCUGGGUACAAGGACUGCCACACUAUUACUCAGAAAUUCUGGUCAGAAUUCAAUGUAAUAGGCCAAAAUAAACUGUGGUGCCAUUUAAUUAAUAUUUUUGGGGACAAAGUUGGCCUGGUUUAGCAGACUGGGUCUUUGAAAACAGUUUUGAUUUCCAGUGGGAGCCAAAAGGAGGGGAAAAAAAGAAAUUGUCCAUCUAAGCCAAAGGAUAAAAAAAGGCAUGGGAAAAUCAAAAUUAUACAUUCUCCCUUCAGUUAAAUAAGACUGUAGUUGCAGAGUACACACACACACACACACACACACACUCCUUGAUGCAUCAAGAGCUGUUUAAGAAUAGAAAGUACAAAGUGCACUGAAGUGAAAUCUCAAUUUUAGUUGUUUUUCUGCUGCAGGCAAUGAGAUUUGGAGCUGUGCCAUAUAAUUCAGUGCACAAAUACUAAACCUGAGGUAUUGGCUUUUAUAAACAGAAGAUGGAAAAGACUCAGGCUCUGUAGAUCUGCUUCAGAACAACUCAUUGCCAAUGUUAUCAACAAGCCCACACCUCAAACCAAACACAGCACCAUGGAGCAGUCUCAUCCAACACUCAAACACAUGCUGAGGAAAUCUCCUAUAGAUUCACUAAUGGAUCUGUCAUCUCCCUGUGCAUGUGCCUGGCAUCCUUGGGCAUUCCGGCUGCCAUCAGACACUUGCCACUCUGCACCAAAAAUCUACCUGAAGGUGACCUCAACAUAUUCCUGGGCUCCACCAGCUUUAGGGUCUGGAUCUCCACAGGAGCCUGAACUCUAGACCACAGACAGGCACAUACUGGGUUUUUUGUUUGUUUGUUUGUUUUCCUUUCAAGAAAUAAACACUGAGUGACAUCAAAGCCACUCCCAGGUAGCCAAGACAUCCCAUCCAAUGGGAAUUAGAACUUAAUUAGAACCUAAAGCCUGUUGGUGACUUAUCCUUUCUUGGAGCUGGGACAGCCCACAGAAUCCCAAAGGACACAAGCUCAUAUUUAGACAACCCAGUUAAAUGUCCUUAUGAUCACCUACAAUGAGAUGUUUGAGUUGGAACAACAGAAGAGCAAUGUGUUACCAGCUGUAUUACAGGUCUGUAAGACUUCAGAGAAGCAGUUUUAGUUUCUCAUUUUUCCUUUUGCAGUUUACAGGGAGUAAUAAAAACUUCUUAAAUUUAGCUGAAGAAGAUGAGACAGAAGUUAAAUCCUUAAUGUAAGUGAAAUGAAAGUUUUAUGGCAUUUCUAUAUAUUACAUCAACGAGGUAACUGUUAGUCUUGAAGCCUUAAACAUAUCGAGCUUUAUUGUGUCCUGUUUGGAGACUAGUAGUAAUUCUUACAAUUGCCCUCCACUAUUUUCCUGACUUGUAGCAACGAUAUAUUCUAGAUCUACUCUGGAAAAAAGAAAUUUAAAGUAAAAAGAAAAAUAAAUUAAUGGUGUCAAUCCCUCAUUUAUCUUCUGGACAAGUGUGUUUGUUUUUUUUUCUUUUAUUUGCAGUGUUACUUACACUUUUUUCCAUUAUUGAUC